Molecule: transfer RNA, 73 nt
Filed under: Ailuropoda melanoleuca (giant panda)
Lineage: Eukaryota; Metazoa; Chordata; Mammalia; Carnivora; Ursidae
Rfam family: tRNA
About the family: Transfer RNA (tRNA) molecules are approximately 80 nucleotides in length. Their secondary structure includes four short double-helical elements and three loops (D, anti-codon, and T loops). Further hydrogen bonds mediate the characteristic L-shaped molecular structure. tRNAs have two regions of fundamental functional importance: the anti-codon, which is responsible for specific mRNA codon recognition, and the 3' end, to which the tRNAs corresponding amino acid is attached (by aminoacyl-tRNA synthetases). tRNAs cope with the degeneracy of the genetic code in two manners: having more than one tRNA (with a specific anti-codon) for a particular amino acid; and 'wobble' base-pairing, i.e. permitting non-standard base-pairing at the 3rd anti-codon position.
Source: Rfam by way of RNAcentral
GCCUGGCUGGCUCAGUUGGUAGAGCAUAUGACUCUUGAUCUUGGGGUUGUGAGUUCAAGCCCCAUGUUGCGUG